AUGGGUUAUCAUCAGAUUCGCAUUCGUGAAGAAGAUAUUCCCAAGACAGCAUUCAGAACAAGCUAUGGUUCUUAUGAAUAUACUGUCAUGUCUUUCGGCCUUGUCAAUGCUCCUCCAACGUUCUGUCGCAUGAUGAAUUUUAUCUUCAACCCCUACACCAAUGAAUUUGUUCUGGUGUAUCUCGAUGAUAUCUUAGUCUUCUCCAAGAAUAAGAAGGAUCAUGCCAAACAUUUGCGAUUGGUGCUUGACAAGCUCAGAGAGCAUCAAUUCUAUGCGAAGUUUACCAAAUGUGAGUUCUGGCUUGAUGAAGUUCUUUAUCUUGGUCACAUCAUCUCCGCCAAGGGAAUUGCUGUUAAUCCGGCGAAGGUUUCUGCAGUUGUGAAUUAG
This 387-nucleotide ribosomal RNA is filed under the name Triticum aestivum (bread wheat). RNAcentral's name for it is "partial small subunit ribosomal RNA". The record is from RNAcentral. Lineage: Eukaryota; Viridiplantae; Streptophyta; Magnoliopsida; Poales; Poaceae.